CGCGGCGCGAGCGGCACCGCGGGAAGCACCGGGACGGUGGCGGCAGCAAGAAGAAGAAGAAGCGGUCGCGGUCCCGGGGCGAAAAGCGGUCUGGGGAUGGCAGUGAGAAGGCCCCGGCACCGGCUCCGCCACCCUCCGGCUCCACCUCUGGCGGUGACCGCGACAGCCGCCGCCGAGGGGCCGUGCCGCCCUCCAUCCAGGACCUCACGGACCACGACCUCUUCGCCAUCAAGCGGACCAUCACGGUGGGCCGGCUUGACAAGUCCGACCCCCGAGGACCCUCUCCCGCCCCGGCCUCGUCCCCUAAGCGGGAGGUCCUGUACGACUCGGAGGGACUGAGCGGCGAGGAGCGGGGCGGCAAGAGCAGCCAGAAGGACCGGCGCCGCUCGGGGGCCGCUUCCUCCUCCUCCUCCUCCCGGGAGAAGGGGUCUCGUCGGAAGGCUCUGGACGGGGGGGACCGGGAUCGGGACAGGGACAGAGAGAGGGACAGGGACAGGUCAUCCAAGAAGGCCCGGCCCCCCAAGGAGUCGGCGCCUUCCUCAGGGCCCCCGCCAAAGCCACCGGUCAGCAGCGGCUCCGGCUCUUCAUCCUCGUCCUCCUCCUGUUCCUCCCGGAAGGUGAAGUUGCAGUCCAAGGUGGCGGUGCUGAUCCGCGAGGGUGUCAGCAGCACCACCCCGGCCAAGGACGCCGCGUCGGCCGGCCUGGGCUCCAUCGGCGUCAAAUUCAGCCGCGACCGGGAGAGUCGCUCCCCUUUCCUAAAGCCCGACGAGCGGGCCCCGACUGAGGUGGCCAAAGCAGCUCCGGGCAGCACCAAGCCCAAAAAGACCAAGGUCAAGGCCAAGGCUGGGGCCAAGAAAGCCAAGGGGACCAAGGGAAAGACCAAGCCAUCCAAGACCAGGAAAAAGGUCCGCAGCGGAGGCGGCAGCGCGGGCAGUGGUGGCCCGGUGUCGCUGAAGAAGUCGAAAGCGGAUAGCUGCAGCCAGGCGGCGGGCACCAAGGGGGCAGAGGAGACUUCGUGGUCCGGAGAGGAACGGGCAGCCAAGGUCCCUAGCACCCCACCACCCAAGGUAGCCCCACCGCCCCCUGCCCUCACUCCGGACUCACAGACCGUGGACAGCAGCUGCAAGACACCCGAGGUCUCCUUCCUGCCUGAGGAGGCCACCGAGGAGGCUGGAGUCCGAGGUGGGGCAGAGGAGGAGGAGGAAGAGGAAGAAGAGGAGGAGGAAGAAGAGGAGGAGGAGGAACAGCAGCCUGCCACCACCACGGCCACCAGCACUGCUGCGGCCGCCCCAAGCACUGCCCCCAGCGCGGGGUCCACAGCCGGUGACUCGGGGGCGGAGGACGGGCCGGCUUCCCGUGUCUCCCAGCUGCCCACGCUGCCCCCGCCCAUGCCCUGGAACCUGCCAGCUGGUGUGGACUGCACCACCAGCGGCGUCCUGGCCUUGACUGCACUUCUCUUCAAGAUGGAAGAAGCCAACCUGGCGAGCCGAGCGAAGGCCCAGGAGCUGAUCCAGGCCACCAACCAGGUGGGCUCCCCUGGGGGAGAGUCCCUGCCGCCCCUUCUUUUGUGCAUUGCCUCGGGUUAGGAGAGGAACCGCAGGCCCGGCAGCUCUGGGGCAAGGUAUCGGCCUGAAGAGGAGCCUGUUGCCUCGGCUGUGGGGAAGUCAGCGUGGGAACAGCGGGGUGCACGUCCCCUCUUCCCUGUCCCCUCCCUUUACUCACCACCCCUCCAUCCUCUUCCCACAGAUCCUCAGCCACAGAAAGCCACCCUCAAGUCUGGGGGUGACCCCAGCUCCUGUGCCCACCUCUCUGGGUCUGCCCCCUGGCCCCUCCAGCUACCUGCUUCCUGGCAGCCUCCCCCUGGGGGGCUG
Saimiri boliviensis boliviensis (Bolivian squirrel monkey) is the source of this 1871-nucleotide long non-coding RNA. The record is from Ensembl. Lineage: Eukaryota; Metazoa; Chordata; Mammalia; Primates; Cebidae.